RNAcentral lists this transfer RNA (104 nucleotides) under Terriglobia bacterium. Its description in RNAcentral is "tRNA-OTHER". It matches the Rfam family "tRNA". From Rfam's summary of the family: Transfer RNA (tRNA) molecules are approximately 80 nucleotides in length. The record is from RNAcentral. Lineage: Bacteria; Pseudomonadati; Acidobacteriota; Terriglobia.
GGGCGCGUAGCUUUAAGGGGAAAGCGGAGGAUUGUCUUCUGGUUUUUUCGGGGCGACUCCCCGAGAUUCCGCCAAUCCGGGUUCAACUCCCGGCGCGUCCACCA